RNAcentral lists this ribosomal RNA (1320 nucleotides) under uncultured marine eukaryote. RNAcentral's name for it is "SSU rRNA". It matches the Rfam family "Eukaryotic small subunit ribosomal RNA", at positions 426 to 1759 of the family's 1831-position model. The record is from RNAcentral.
GAGCAGGCGCGCAAUUACCCAAUCCUGACUCAGGGAGGUAGUGACAAGAAAUAACAAUAAACCGGCUUAUGCCGGUUUAAUUGGAAUGAGUACAAUUUAAACAUCUUAACGAGGAACAAUUGGAGGGCAAGUCUGGUGCCAGCAGCCGCGGUAAUUCCAGCUCCAAUAGCGUAUACUAAAGUUGUUGCAGUUAAAAAGCUCGUAGUUGGAUUUCUGUGGGGACGGAGCGGCCGGCCGCAACACGCGGUUCGAGCUAGCGCUUUCCCUACAUCCUGCCGCGAACCGUGCUACCAUUAGUUUGGUGGCGCCGGGGAUCGGCUCGAUUACUUUGAGAAAAAUAGAGUGUUCAAAGCAGGCCACACGCCUUGAAUAAGUUAGCAUGGAAUAAUAACUAAGGACUUCGGUUCUAUUUUGUUGGUGUUCGGGACUGAAGUAAUGAUUGAUAGGGACAGUUGGGGCGGUCUGUAUUCCAAAGCGAGAGGUGAAAUUCUUAGACCUUCGGAAGACAAACAGCUGCGAAAGCGUUCCGCAAGGAUGUUCCCUUUGAUCAAGAACGAAAGUUGGGGGAUCGAAGACGAUCAGAUACCGUCGUAGUCUCAACUAUAAACUAUACCAGCUAGGGAUCGGCCAACGUUAUUCUAUACCGACUUGGUCGGCACCUUAUGAGAAAUCAAAGCAUCUGGGUUCCGGGGGGAGUAUGGUCGCAAGGCUGAAACUUAAAGGAAUUGACGGAAGGGCACCACCAGCCGUGGAGCCUGUGGCUUAAUUUGACUCAACACGGGAAAACUUACCAGGUCCAGACAUAGUAAGGAUUGACAGAUUGAUAGCUCUUUCUUGAUUCUGUGGGUGGUGGUGCAUGGCCGUUCUUAGUUGGUGGAGUGAUUUGUCUGGUUAAUUCCGUUAACGAACGAGACCCCAGCCUGCUAAAUAGCGCGCGUGAGCUUUGCUCGCGGCGAGCUUCUUAGAGGGACUAUGAUGCGCGAUAGCACAUGGAAGUUUGGGGCAAUAACAGGUCUGUGAUGCCCUUAGAUGUUCUGGGCCGCACACGGGCUACACUGGCGCCUGCAACGAGCAUAUCAGCUGGCCCGAGAGGGUCUUGGCUAAUCUUUUGAACCGGCGCCGUGCUUGGGAUUGACCUUUGCAAUUGUUGGUCAUGCAACGAGGAAUGCCUUGUAAACGCGAGUCAUCAGCUCGCAUUGAAUACGUCCCUGCCCUUUGUACACACCGCCCGUCGCUCCUACCGAUGAAUGUUCCGAUGAAAUUUUCGGAGAGUGCCUGUGAACUUGGCUCUGCCUUGCGAACGGGAAGCUCAAAGUCACU